RNAcentral lists this ribosomal RNA (466 nucleotides) under uncultured bacterium. Its description in RNAcentral is "partial 16S ribosomal RNA". It matches the Rfam family "Bacterial small subunit ribosomal RNA", at positions 28 to 507 of the family's 1533-position model. The record is from RNAcentral.
GAUGAACGCUGGCGGCGUGCUUAACACAUGCAAGUCGAACGGAAAGGCCACAGCUUGCUGUGGUACUCGAGUGGCGAACGGGUGAGUAACACGUGGGUGAUCUGCCCUGUACUUCGGGAUAAGCUUGGGAAACUGGGUCUAAUACCGGAUAGGAAUCACAUGUGGGUGUGUGGUUGGAAAGCUUUUGCGGUAUGGGAUGAGCUCGCGGCCUAUCAGCUUGUUGGUGGGGUAAUGGCCUACCAAGGCGUCGACGGGUAGCCGGCCUGAGAGGGUGUACGGCCACAUUGGGACUGAGAUACGGCCCAGACUCCUACGGGAGGCAGCAGUGGGGAAUAUUGCACAAUGGGCGCAAGCCUGAUGCAGCGACGCAGCGUGGGGGAUGACGGCCGUCGGGUUGUAAACUCCUUUCGUCAGGGACGAAGCGAAAGUGACGGUACCUGGAGAAGAAGCACCGGCUAACUACGUG